CGGCGGACGGGUGAGUAAUGCCUAGGAAUCUGCCUGGUAGUGGGGGACAACGUUUCGAAAGGAACGCUAAUACCGCAUACGUCCUACGGGAGAAAGCAGGGGACCUUCGGGCCUUGCGCUAUCAGAUGAGCCUAGGUCGGAUUAGCUAGUUGGCGAGGUAAUGGCUCACCAAGGCGACGAUCCGUAACUGGUCUGAGAGGAUGAUCAGUCACACUGGAACUGAGACACGGUCCAGACUCCUACGGGAGGCAGCAGCC
Molecule: ribosomal RNA, 257 nt
Filed under: uncultured Pseudomonas sp.
Lineage: Bacteria; Pseudomonadati; Pseudomonadota; Gammaproteobacteria; Pseudomonadales; Pseudomonadaceae
Description: partial 16S ribosomal RNA
Rfam family: Bacterial small subunit ribosomal RNA
Source: RNAcentral